UACGAAGGGGGCUAGCGUUAAUCGGAAUUACUGGGCGUAAAGCGUGCGUAGACGGUUAUGUAAGUCAGAUGUGAAAGCCCCGGGCUUAACCUGGGAAUGGCAUUUGAGACUGCAUAGCUAGGGUGCGGAAGAGGGAAGCGGAAUUUCCGGUGUAGCGGUGAAAUGCGUAGAUAUCGGAAGGAACACCAGUGGCGAAAGCGGCUUCCUGGUCCAGCACCGACGUUCAGGCACGAAAGCGUGGGGAGCAAACAGG
This 253-nucleotide ribosomal RNA is filed under the name uncultured bacterium. RNAcentral describes it as "partial 16S ribosomal RNA". It matches the Rfam family "Bacterial small subunit ribosomal RNA", at positions 524 to 776 of the family's 1533-position model. The record is from RNAcentral.